This 492-nucleotide unclassified non-coding RNA is filed under the name fungal sp. JH 87. Its description in RNAcentral is "sequence contains 18S rRNA gene, ITS1, 5.8S rRNA gene, ITS2 and 28S rRNA gene". The record is from RNAcentral. Lineage: Eukaryota; Fungi.
GCGUCGACUGAUUAGAGGCACGAGACCAUUCGUUCGUGCACUUCGGCGAGCGGCGAUCAUUAUCACGCCAAAGGCCUUGUCAUGCACAGUCGAAAGUCGACCGCAAGCCAAUACAUUUCAGAGGAGCCCGAGUCCUGAAAAACAGGUCUCCGGCAGCCUCCACGAUCCAAGCACCCUCUCGAAGCAAAUCGAGAGGGGUUGAGAAUUUAAUGACGCUCAAACAGGCAUGCUCAUCGGAACACCGAUAAGCGCAAGGUGCGUUCAAAGAUUCGAUGAUUCACUGUAGAUCUGCAAUUCACAUUACAUAUCGCGAUUCGCUGCGUUCUUCAUCGAUGCGAGAGCCAAGAGAUCCAUUGCUGAAAGUUGUAAUAAACUUUUGUCUCAAAGAAUCGCGUCUCCUAGAAGUCGCGAGUCGAUGAUGGUAAAAACAUUCAUAGACUUUCUACACGAAGGGGCUUAUGAAGACGCGGGUCGCCCCGCGCCCAUAAGGAC